This 75-nucleotide transfer RNA is filed under the name Oscillospiraceae bacterium. RNAcentral's name for it is "tRNA-Glu". It matches the Rfam family "tRNA". Rfam says of the family: Transfer RNA (tRNA) molecules are approximately 80 nucleotides in length. Their secondary structure includes four short double-helical elements and three loops (D, anti-codon, and T loops). Further hydrogen bonds mediate the characteristic L-shaped molecular structure. tRNAs have two regions of fundamental functional importance: the anti-codon, which is responsible for specific mRNA codon recognition, and the 3' end, to which the tRNAs corresponding amino acid is attached (by aminoacyl-tRNA synthetases). tRNAs cope with the degeneracy of the genetic code in two manners: having more than one tRNA (with a specific anti-codon) for a particular amino acid; and 'wobble' base-pairing, i.e. permitting non-standard base-pairing at the 3rd anti-codon position. Lineage: Bacteria; Bacillati; Bacillota; Clostridia; Eubacteriales; Oscillospiraceae. The record is from RNAcentral.
GGCCCGUUGGUCAAGUGGUUAAGACAUCGCCCUCUCACGGCGAAAACACGAGUUCGAAUCUCGUACGGGUCACCA